This is a long non-coding RNA of Neoarius graeffei (lesser salmon catfish), 367 nucleotides long. RefSeq lists it as uncharacterized. The transcript has 3 exons. The record is from RefSeq and is a predicted model, not a curated record. Lineage: Eukaryota; Metazoa; Chordata; Actinopteri; Siluriformes; Ariidae.
UGGGAUCAAGAAGAAGACAGCAGUUUGGUCAUUCUGCAUCCUUCUGGCGCCAUAGAGGCCACCUUACCGUCAUUUUCUUCCCUUCACAAGAGCAGACUACGUGAGAGCUUUGUUCCGCCACUGGAAGCUCCGAGCACAUCCGAGAUCCCAAAAAGACGGCAGCGUCGUUCCUCAGGCUCCCGUGUGCGUAACUCUUCAGCAGUCGUCUACAGCGUGAUCGUGGAGGACAGCCACAGCCAGCCAAGAUACAACCUGAGGAGCAGGAAAUCUUUAUGUGCCCCAGAGCCAAAAGGCGCGAGAGACUCCUACUGAUCUCUGGGAGAUGAGGGGGUGUGACGAAUGACCACGUCUGUGAAAUAUGGAAGUC